CUGCUGAGAAAAUUAUGAGUGACUGCUGAGUCAAAAUGCUUUUUAUUUUUUUAUAUUGUUAAAGAGUGUUAUUCUAAGAUAACACUCUUAAACAAUAAAAAAUGUGACAAGCUUGAAUUCUAGUUUGCAAGCCACAUCAGUCUAGAUAGCGAACCUAUGAGAGGAGUGUCACUAAGUGACAAGCAAAAUGAUUUUUUAUGUCACUCUAAACAUUAAAAAAUAUUUAUUAUUUACAUAAACCAGAGAAAAUGGUACUAGAGUUAAAAAAAAAAAAAAGAUUUUUCAUUAACCCUAUUUAUUAUUGAAAAAUUAGGUUUCUUUAUUACAAUCAUUACUACAAUUUCUAUUAUAACUUGUGAAUAAAACGUAAGACAUAAAAAAAAGAAAUAAUAAUAUUUACAAUAAAGAUUUCGUUAACAAUAAAAACAUGACAAUAAAUAUAACAAUAAAAAUUAGGAAUAAAGAAAGCGGAAACUCGAAGAAGUCCUUGAGGUCUUGUCGUAGAGAGCCUCUGGAAUCAAAACGCUUUAAAUGAAUUCAUUUUUAUUGAUUUUUUGUAAAUGUUUUUAUUAGCUUUUGAAUUGGAUCUGUUCCGAUAAAUAAUUAUAUAAACCGUUGCAUAGAAUAGUUAAAAAUAAUAUACUUCAGUAUAAUUAUUGAUGUGUUUGAUGACGUCAUAGUGUGUUAAUGAUGUUAAUAUAAAUCAUAGUCAAUAGAAUAUAACUAUGGUCUGGAAGUCCAUUGUUAUUUCUUUUUGUUACGCUGCGCAUGUUGAAAUGAAUAGUUUUUAAAUCACGUGACCAAAGAAUGUGCAAAACAUUUAUAUCAUGGCGUCAAAUAACGAGUUUUUAACAAAAGUCUGCAGAUUUAUUGAUAGAUAUUCAGGAUGAAGGUCUUUUAGAUGAAGAAUUUAUUAUUGCAAAUAUUGUAGAUGUUGGAGAGGAGUCAACACCAGGCAGUUUUAAGUGCGACGACUGUGGGAACAUUUGUAAAUCAAAAGGGGGACUUACUCGUCACCGAAACUGUAAACAUUUACAACUAAAAGAGACCUUUGAUACAAGUAGAAAUACAAUGAGUAGCAUAAUACUAAGUGAUUUAGUUCUGGAGUCACAAAAAAAUCUAUCUGAGGAUAACUGUUACAACUUAACUCGACGAGAAUGUUUCAAGUGUUAUAACUUCAUAUAAACAGAAGCACUUUACGCAGAUUUAAAAGAGAUUUAUGACAUUUUGAUUAAUACAAACAAUGCAGAGAGUUAUUAUUCCAGCUUUUAUAAUAAAAUAGUAAUCAAUGCAGAUGUUUACUUUCCUGAAUUAGGAAAACCCAAUAGUACUCUUUUAGCAACACAACUGGCUGACAAGGUGCUUGCAUACUUCAAAAGAAUGCCCAACAAGGAAGCAAAACAAAUAAAAAAUAUAACAAAUGAUGAAAUUGGUGCCUUGCAAUAUCUGGCUGGGUAUGUUGUCAGAAAGUUCAUUAAGAAAUCGAAAAAUAGCCUGAAUUAUAAAUCCAAUGAAAAUCAAGAUAUAAUAAAAAUAUUAAAUAACGCUAUUAGCAAAAAUUCUACAGAUCAGGAAUUGAUUGAGGCACAAAAUCGUGGUGGACUAACAGCUGUUAAUAAUGAAUGCCAGCAAAUACUUGUAAAAGCUGAAAUUCAAUUUCGAAAUAAAACAAAUAUUAAUCAUUUGCAAGAAAUUGAUAUUAACAGGAUGACUAUGGAACUACUGAAAGAUACAGAAGUAGUGAGCUUUUAUAACUAUCUUAACAGGAUGCGGAGUUGACAUUGAUAAUGAUGUUAGUAAAAACCUUUUAGAAAAUAUGGUCAAACUUUAUUUUCGAGUGCGAGCAUUUUCUUUGGCUAAAGACAUUACCACCAAAUAUAAACUAAAAUUGAAACAAAAAAAUAAUAAGGGUGGUCUUCGUAAAACUCUUAAAAAACAAUCCAAAGAGUAACAAGCAUGGUAUAUGCCACUUGUUAUGUGUUUAUUUAUUAAUAAAAUUAUGUAUUUAAAAAUAUAUCAUCAAUUAUUUUCAUAUGUUCUCAGA
Molecule: non-coding RNA, 2044 nt
Organism: Hydra vulgaris (swiftwater hydra)
Lineage: Eukaryota; Metazoa; Cnidaria; Hydrozoa; Anthoathecata; Hydridae
Source: RefSeq, a predicted model, not a curated record